RNAcentral lists this unclassified non-coding RNA (228 nucleotides) under Chlamydocillium curvulum. RNAcentral's name for it is "Kiflimonium curvulum partial internal transcribed spacer region". The stretch from base 1 to 46 matches the Rfam family "Eukaryotic small subunit ribosomal RNA", at positions 1786 to 1831 of the family's 1831-position model. The record is from RNAcentral. RNAcentral also lists the same sequence under 1 other name. Lineage: Eukaryota; Fungi; Ascomycota; Sordariomycetes; Hypocreales.
AAGUCGUAACAAGGUCUCCGUUGGUGAACCAGCGGAGGGAUCAUUACCGAGUUUCCAACUCACAACCCAUCGUGAACAUACCUCUGUUGCUUCGGCGGUACGGGGUCGCCCCUCCGGGGGAGCCCGGCGCCGCCGGAGGUACUCAAACUCUUGUUUUACCACUGUGGUUACCUCUGAGUAUUCUUGAAAUAAAUCAAAACCUUCAACAACGGAUCUCUUGGCUCUGGC